UCUCAUAAAACCUGCGGUUUUUCACCUUCUCUUUAGUGGCUCUUUUGAUCAGGGAGCUCCAGAUGUGCGGCUCGGUGUCCAAACCGCUGGUCACUUUGUGUGUGUGUGUGUGUUGCCUGAUGUAAUCGUUUUGUAGCGCCAGUUUAUAAUAGAAUAUAUUUUGGCUGAAUUGUGCCGCCGCUUUCAUCUAUUUCAAGGGUUGUUGUUUUUUCUGGCUCACGUCUUGCAUCGUUUUAAUCUGGUAUAAAAUCAGAUUUAAUGUGAUCAAAAGAAAAAAUUGCAGUGCAAGAUCCAAAUGCCUAGAUUCUCAAUGGACCCUAAUGACUGAAUCAGCGGUGGGCUGCUCCCAGUUUGGUCCAGUUCUAUAGAACCAGUAGUAAAACCGGCGGGAGGCUCCUCCCACCUGCCACAACGUCAUCGUGGAUGAUACGCACAGAAGCGCGAACGAAGCGAGUACACACGUGCACUCCCGUUGUGAACCAGUGGUAAAGUGUUCCCAUGAUGUAAACCUGAAUGAAGAUCCCAGCUGGGAUCACUCCCCAGAAAAAGGCUGCUUGAGGGCAAUAACCUGGGACAAUCCAAUACAACAAGUAAAAAUACAAGUCUGGGAAUUAGCCUCCCAUAAGUGGAGCAGAUGUUGAAUGCCUUACUCAUUUAUUUGCAUGAAAUUAUGAAGUUUAUACGGUUAAGACAAUCAGGUCGAUGUUCAGCAUUUUUACAGAUUCUUUGUGUGGCUAGAAGUUAAAACACAAGGAAAUUAGUUUUGGAGUUCAAUCCCAAUCAAAGGUAAUUUGUGAACUGGAUUUGAAGUACAGUAAUAGAGCAAAGAAAGUUGGACCAUAAGAAAGGCUGAGCGCCAAAGAAUUGAGGCCUUUGAACUAUGGUGCUGGAGAAGACUCUUGCAAGUCCCUUGGACUGCAUGGCGAUCAAACCGGUCAGUCCUAGAGGAGAUCAACCCUGACUGCUCUUUAGAAGGCCAGAUCCUGAAGAUGAAACUCAAAUACUUUGGCCACCUAAUGAAAAGGAAGGACUCACUGGCGAGGAGCCUAAUGCUGGGAAAGAUUGAGGGCAAAAGAAGAAUGGGACAACAGAGAACGUGAGUGGCUGGAUGGAGUCACUGAAGCAGUCAGUGUGAGCUUAAAUGGAUUCCAGAGAAUGGUAGAGGACAGGAAAGCCUGGAGGAACAUUGUUCAUGGGGUCGUAAUGGGUUGGACACAACUUCACAACUAACAACAAUAACAACUAAGUAGAACAAAAAAAUGAGUUAACAACUUAUUACUAGAAGUGUUUCUCAGCCUGUUACC
Molecule: long non-coding RNA, 1304 nt
Organism: Ahaetulla prasina
Lineage: Eukaryota; Metazoa; Chordata; Lepidosauria; Squamata; Colubridae
Exons: 3
Source: RefSeq, a predicted model, not a curated record